GGCCUGCAUGGAGCGCAGGUUCAGCUCCUCGAGCUUGCCGCGCCCGAUGAGGUAGCGCGGGUCGGCCUCGCGGCGCAUCU
RNAcentral lists this transfer RNA (80 nucleotides) under Melittangium boletus DSM 14713. Its description in RNAcentral is "tRNA-Gly". Lineage: Bacteria; Pseudomonadati; Myxococcota; Myxococcia; Myxococcales; Archangiaceae. The record is from RNAcentral.